ACUACCCAAAAAUGGAAUAGGAACAAGUGAAAUACCAGGAACAUCAGAAGAGUAAACAAAGAAAGGGUUUGUAGGGUCAAUGAGUGAAGUAUUAUUAGGAUUCAUAUUUGUUAUCAGAAACAGAACAACAGUGAUGAAGAGAAAUUGGUUCAAUAUCUGUGAACUACUCGAUACACCAGAUUUUCCAGCAAAAACACAUGCAAGCUCUUAAUGAAAGUGAGAAUAGGGUUACUGGACUUUUACGCUACCGGAGAAGAACGACCUUCAAAAUUCAAAGAAAAUCCUAGCUUUGUUCAGUGUAAAUCCAACGCUUCUGAAUCCGUCGGAAUCAACCGCGAAAGGUGUCGGAAUUUUACCUUAAACACCACGCGUGAGAAGGCAACAACAAUCCAUAGAAAAGGGCUGAAAACAUCUCCGAUUUCACCAACAAAUCGCAAAAAAAAUUCAGAAUCACCACCGAUAACUCAAUAAUGCUGGACCGAAAGGACUAAUAACAGAGAGGAGACAUCCGAGAAGAAGAACCACGCUCUGAUACCAUGAAAACAUGGAGAAUCAGAGAUGGAGAGAAGAGAGAGAAACUUCAUCUCUUUCAGAACUGUCUGGAAUAAAAAAUGGAUUCUCUAUUUUCUGUACAAAU
RNAcentral lists this long non-coding RNA (637 nucleotides) under Nicotiana benthamiana. Its description in RNAcentral is "long non-coding RNA (NBEN_LNC037422)". The record is from RNAcentral. Lineage: Eukaryota; Viridiplantae; Streptophyta; Magnoliopsida; Solanales; Solanaceae.